GGAGGAACAAGGGAGUAGUAUUUUUUGUAAAAAGACUUAUAAAUCCCAUUUGCCUUCUUGACUAUAUUGCAUUGAUAAACAGCUGAAGAGAGAAGUCUUUAGUACACUGUAGAUUUGUGUUUCUUUGACUAAGGUUCCAGUUCAUUUGUGUGCAUUUCUUUUUCCCACUUAGAUAUGUUGAUGAUGUGAUCAGCCGCAUUGACAGGAUGUUUCCUGAAAUGUCCAUCCACUUAUCCAGGCCCAAUGGCACAUCAGCAAUGCUUCUGGUAUCAGUUUGUCCAUCUUGGCUGCAGUGGGACCUGCUGCUCAGGGAAGAGGCAGUCAGCAUUGGUCUAGUUUGAUGCCAGAGCUGUCAGAACAGUUACCGCCAUAACUUCUUCUGGCAUCUUUGUGAGCCUUAGGUAAUUGGCUGUAUCUUCUAAACACCACAUCCUAGCUGAUAGGAAAUAUAAAGUUUCAGCCUCUUACAUAAUCUUUAAAUACACUGUGGCUGGCUCUCUGCUCUGUUGGGGGGGGGGUGGGGGCUGUUUUGGUGUUGUGUAAGUUAAUAACUCAUGAUAUAAUAAAUCCUGUUUCCGUUCUUUGAAGGGAUGAGCUCAGCCAUCCAAAAAUAAAUCUAGCUAUGUUGA
This is a non-coding RNA of Leptonychotes weddellii (Weddell seal), 629 nucleotides long. The record is from RefSeq and is a predicted model, not a curated record. Lineage: Eukaryota; Metazoa; Chordata; Mammalia; Carnivora; Phocidae.